RNAcentral lists this ribosomal RNA (829 nucleotides) under Cancellidium sp. RNAcentral describes it as "partial large subunit ribosomal RNA". It matches the Rfam family "Eukaryotic large subunit ribosomal RNA", at positions 71 to 932 of the family's 3401-position model. Lineage: Eukaryota; Fungi; Ascomycota; Sordariomycetes; Cancellidiaceae. The record is from RNAcentral.
GGGAUUGCCCUAGUAACGGCGAGUGAAGCGGCAACAGCUCAAAUUUGAAAUCUGGCUCACGCCCGAGUUGUAAUUUGUAGAGGAUGCUUUUGGUGAGGUGCCUUCUGAGUUCCCUGGAACGGGACGCCAGAGAGGGUGAGAGCCCCGUAUAGUUGGACACCAAGCCUCUGUAAAGCUCCUUCGACGAGUCGAGUAGUUUGGGAAUGCUGCUCAAAAUGGGAGGUAAAUUUCUUCUAAAGCUAAAUACCGGCCAGAGACCGAUAGCGCACAAGUAGAGUGAUCGAAAGAUGAAAAGCACUUUGAAAAGAGGGUUAAACAGCACGUGAAAUUGUUGAAAGGGAAGCGCUUGUGACCAGACUUGCGCCAGGCGAAUCAUCCAGCGUUCUCGCUGGUGCACUUCGCCUGGUCCAGGCCAGCAUCGGUUUUCCCAGGGGGAUAAAGGCGCCGGGAACGUGGCUCUCUCCGGGGAGUGUUAUAGCCCGGCGUACAAUAUCCUUGGGGGGACCGAGGUUCGCGCUCUGCAAGGAUGCUGGCAUAAUGGUCAUCAGCGACCCGUCUUGAAACACGGACCAAGGAGUCAAGCAUUAGGGCGAGUGUUUGGGUGUUAAACCCGCACGCGAAAUGAAAGUGAACGCAGGUGAGAGCUUCGGCGCAUCAUCGACCGAUCCUGAUGUAUUCGGAUGGAUUUGAGUAAGAGCCUUACCGCUUGGACCCGAAAGAUGGUGAACUAUGCUUGUAUAGGGUGAAGCCAGAGGAAACUCUGGUGGAGGCUCGCAGCGGUUCUGACGUGCAAAUCGAUCGUCAAAUAUGAGCAUGGGGGCGAAAGACU